UACAGAGGUGGCAAGCGUUGUUCGGAAUUACUGGGCGUAAAGGGCGCGUAGGCGGCCUUCUAAGUCAGGCGUGAAAUCCCCCGGCUUAACCUGGGAACUGCGUCUGAUACUGGGAGGCUAGAGUGCGGGAGAGGGAUGCGGAAUUCCAGGUGUAGCGGUGAAAUGCGUAGAUAUCGUGUGGAACGCCAAUGGUGAAAACAGGUUGCUGGGGGUGUGCUGACGCUGAGACACGAAAGCCAGGGGAGCAAACGGG
Molecule: ribosomal RNA, 253 nt
Filed under: uncultured bacterium
Lineage: Bacteria
Description: partial 16S ribosomal RNA
Rfam family: Bacterial small subunit ribosomal RNA
Source: RNAcentral